GACGAACCGUGCGAACGUUGUUCGGAAUCACUGGGCUUAAAGGGUGCGUAGGCGGGUCUUUAAGUCAGGGGUGAAAUCCUGGAGCUCAACUCCAGAACUGCCUUUGAUACUGGGAAUCUCGAGUCCGGGAGAGGUGAGUGGAACUGCGAGUGUAGAGGUGAAAUUCGUAGAUAUUCGGAGGAACACCAGUGGCGAAGGCGGCUCACUGGUCCGGUACUGACGCUGAGGUGCGAAAGCGUGGGGAGCAAACAGG
This 253-nucleotide ribosomal RNA is filed under the name uncultured bacterium. Its description in RNAcentral is "partial 16S ribosomal RNA". It matches the Rfam family "Bacterial small subunit ribosomal RNA", at positions 524 to 776 of the family's 1533-position model. The record is from RNAcentral.